RNAcentral lists this ribosomal RNA (515 nucleotides) under uncultured bacterium. Its description in RNAcentral is "partial 16S ribosomal RNA". It matches the Rfam family "Bacterial small subunit ribosomal RNA", at positions 28 to 523 of the family's 1533-position model. The record is from RNAcentral.
GAUGAACGCUGGCGGCGUGCCUAAUACAUGCAAGUCGAGCGAAUGGAUUAAGAGCUUGCUCUUAUGAAGUUAGCGGCGGACGGGUGAGUAACACGUGGGUAACCUGCCCAUAAGACUGGGAUAACUCCGGGAAACCGGGGCUAAUACCAGAUAACAUUUUGAACCGCAUGGUUCGAAAUUGAAAGGCGGCUUCGGCUGUCACUUAUGGAUGGACCCGCGUCGCAUUAGCUAGUUGGUGAGGUAACGGCUCACCAAGGCAACGAUGCGACGCCGACCUGGGGGGGUGAUCGGCCACACUGGGACUGAGGCAAGGCCCAGACUCCUACGGGAGGCAGCAGUAGGGAAUCUUCCGCAAUGGACGAAAGUCUGACGGAGCAACGCCGCGUGAGUGAUGAAGGCUUUCGGGUCGUAAAACUCUGUUGUUAGGGAAGAACAAGUGCUAGUUGAAUAAGCUGGCACCUUGACGGUACCUAACCAGAAAGCCACGGCUAACUACGUGCCAGCCGCCGCGGUAA